ACCGACAAGUCACCUGCCGAUUCCAGUUGCGAGUCGGAUUUCUCAACACCUGUAUCAUCCCCACAAAAGCACUUCAAUGGAGUCAAGGAGAACGGAAUAGCAAGUGGCAGUGGACUGACAUCGAAAUCACGGCUGGACAGUGUUAAAAAAAAUGGACCCAGCACUCCAUAUUCGAGCAUUGCUGAAGAGAUCUUGUCAAGGCGCUCCAUCAACAGACUCAGGUCUACUAAUUUGCCAAAGUAAGUUCAUCAUCAUCAUCGUCAUUCUCAUCAUAACUAUCACCAUCAUUACCACCACCACCACCACCACCAUCAUCAUAACUAUCAUCCUCAUAGGCUGAUGAUGAAGAUGGCCGAAGUGAACAAUGGCACCAGUGCUACUAGAUAUGCUUUUCCAUGGAAAAUUGGAAAUGUACAAUAGAGGGGUGCAGGCAUGGCCGUGUGGUAAGAAGCUUGCUUCCCAACCACAUAGUUCUGGGUUCAGUCCCACUGUGUGGCACCUUGGGCAAGUGUCUUCUACUGUAGCUUUGGGUCAACUAAAGCCUUGUGAGUGGAUUUGGUAGACGGAAACUGAAAGAAGCCCGUCGUAUAUAUAUCAUCAUCAUCAUCAUUUAACGU
Octopus bimaculoides (California two-spot octopus) is the source of this 617-nucleotide long non-coding RNA. Lineage: Eukaryota; Metazoa; Mollusca; Cephalopoda; Octopoda; Octopodidae. The record is from RefSeq and is a predicted model, not a curated record.